CCUACGGGGGGCAGCAGUGGGGAAUAUUGGACAAUGGGGGCAACCCUGAUCCAGCCAUGCCGCGUGUGUGAAGAAGGCCCUCGGGUUGUAAAGCACUUUCAGUGAGGAAGAACGCCUGGUGGUUAAUACCCAUCAGGAAAGACAUCACUCACAGAAGAAGCACCGGCUAACUCCGUGCCAGCAGCCGCGGUAAUACGGAGGGUGCGAGCGUUAAUCGGAAUUACUGGGCGUAAAGCGCGCGUAGGUGGCUUGAUAAGCCGGUUGUGAAAGCCCCGGGCUCAACCUGGGAACGGCAUCCGGAACUGUCAAGCUAGAGUGCAGGAGAGGAAGGUAGAAUUCCCGGGGUAGCGGUGAAAUGCGUAGAGAUCGGGAGGAAUACCAGUGGCGAAGGCGGCCUUCUGGACUGACACUGACACUGAGGUGCGAAAGCGUGGGUAGCAAACAGGAUUAGAUACCCGUGUAGC
This 464-nucleotide ribosomal RNA is filed under the name Vreelandella stevensii. RNAcentral's name for it is "partial 16S ribosomal RNA". It matches the Rfam family "Bacterial small subunit ribosomal RNA", at positions 338 to 794 of the family's 1533-position model. The record is from RNAcentral. Lineage: Bacteria; Pseudomonadati; Pseudomonadota; Gammaproteobacteria; Oceanospirillales; Halomonadaceae.